Molecule: long non-coding RNA, 4368 nt
Filed under: Equus caballus (horse)
Lineage: Eukaryota; Metazoa; Chordata; Mammalia; Perissodactyla; Equidae
Description: lncRNA (ENSECAG00000040621.3)
Source: RNAcentral
GUCGGGGUUCCAGCAGGAGCCCAUGAGUGUGCGGUUUGCCGGCUGCAGAGGCCUGUGUGAACGGGUUCCCAGUGCGAGAUGAGGGCCAGCAGCAGGAGGGGGCGGUGGGGGAAAGCCCGCUUUCGCCCCUGUGGGCUGGGCCGCCUCGCCACGCACCCUGCCUCCACGGCCCCGAGUUCCCCACCCACAGAACAGGGUGCCAGCACACUAGGCUGCAUCAGAAGGUUUGUUCCAUUCCUCGGAGCUCUGGGGCUCUGCUGAGGGUCUCCGAACUGGGUGGGCAGGGCUCCAGGCAUCCACGCCCACUCCUGCCCUUCAGAUGUUUUGACUGAUUGAACGAACAUCCAGGUCAGAUUUUAUUUAAAGAAAAUGUAUUUUCAGUGGACAUUUGCAGAGGGCUGACCUGGAGUCAGGGAGGCCUGGGAAGUGCUGGGCCCUGGAGACUGUGGGGUCGGAGGCUCAAAGUCCCGGGUCCUGUGUAGCCUUGAGCAGAGCGGCUAGCCUUUCUGGGCCUCAUCUGUCCUUCUGGGAAGUGGAGUCACAGCUGCCCGACAGGAGCUGAGUGCAGGGCUGGGGGACUGUGGUGCUUGGAGGUGCAGAGGUUUCAGACUUCCCCUGCCCUGGGGCACCUGCUGCUUGGUCGAGCCAGCCUUCCACGGGUUGGAGAGCUUGCCUGUAGCACCUGGCAUCCCUUGUCUAGCACACGCCCAUCACCAAGGUGUGCCCUCACUGAGAGCAGGAGUGGCAGGGGCUCAGUACUGUCGGCCCCAAGCUGUGACUCUGGCGCUAACCCACAGGGGGCGAUCCAGCUCAGAGCAUCCUGCCGUGGGGGGCUUGCUCCCAGCAUCCUGGAGGAAACACUGAGCAGGUGGCACCUCCAGAACCUCCGUUAAGGGCGCCUCACCUCACCAUGGUGGUCCCAGGGUGGGGGAACCCAUGAGGACCUCAGUUGCCAGCCUUAUUGGGGCCCCAGGACACAGCAGACCCAUAGGGGCCCUCCGGGAGGAUGUCCUGGCUUCCCUGGACAUAAAGCUGUCCCAGGACCUACGCCUCAUUGAGGGGCCUCAAGGCCGAGGCCCUGGGCCUGGCCUCUCCUCCCCGCCACAGUGGAGCCCCUGCAGGCCUGACCAUCAGACCCCGGGGCCCACCAUCUCCCAGUUUUCAUUCUAGCAACAAGACAGCCCAGGAGUUUGGGGGUGGGGCAGGGAUGUGUCCCAGUUGGCUGUCCUCGCCAUGGGGCUCUUCUCCAUCCCUCGGGGCGGGAGGGGGCUGUUGGAGUGAGAGGGAAGGAGUCCUGCCCUCCCCUUUGCAAGGAGCCAGAGCUUCACUUGGGAGGCCUGCGAUGUUUAUGCAGUUCCAGGGCCACACUGGGCCAGGGCAGGGAACUGAGGACGGGAGUGGGAGGGGCUUUAGGAAAACCAGACCUACCACCUUCCCUCUGGCCCUCCCAAGAGAUGCAGCUCUCCCUAGUGAGAUGCUCUGGGAGUAGGGAGAGGGACAUGGAGGGGAGGAGAGCUGGCUUCAUGUGUGAGCUUCAUGAAAGCCAGACGGAGAUGGAGAGUCUUGGAGGUCCUCUCCGCCAGGAUUCCAGAUCUUUCCAGAGUGAUCUCAGGGCUUUGCAAAGCAGAAACCAGGCCCAGAUGGAAGCCCACAGGGAGACCUCACCCAGGGCUGUCGGCUCUUCAGAAAUGUCCCUUCCUGUGGCUGCAAGACUGUGGGUGAAUCCUGGGGUCCGGGCUUGGCUGCUGUGAGCCGCUGCCUCCCGGCUGAUAAACAUCGGCCCAGGGAGCUGAGACACCGAGGCCCUGGAGAAGACCAGUGCAGGUGAGAGGUGCUCUGCUAAAACCACAGCUUGGGGGUGGCGUCUCCACUCACACCCCGUACGGGAAAGCAGCUAUUUCUACAAUAACGGCUUCCACAUCGAUGGAAGGACCACCAGCAGGGCUGCAGCAGGUGCAGGGCUGGUUGGUGAAGAGGCUCACCCUCUCCUCCGUCCUCAGCCCCAACGCUCCCCAAACCUGUGCAUUAGAGCUGUGCUGGAGUUCUUCACGUCUCUACCAGGCCAGGUGGUCACUGCUAAACUCGCCUUGGAGAGAGGAAGCCUGGAUUAUCUGUCAGGUCCAGGGGGACGAUGCUCCAUUGGGCCCCCAGCUUCAUGGGGCUGCUACCUUGGUCUGGAGACCCUCCGUGUGUGAGGAGUUUGCACCCUUCAGAGUUUCAGCUGGAAAGUGGAUCUAUCGUCUUGGUGCUUCAGAGGAAACUUCUACAAUAUUCAGAUGGACGGGGCUCUCAGCCCCUCGACCACAAGGCUGUUCCAGCCUGAGCAGGUCAGUUCUGGGCAGUCUGGGAGCGGGAGGAGGGGUCCGCAGAACUCUUCCUGUCCCCGCUUUCUGCCUUCGCUUCUCAGGGGUACCCUGCCCUGGAAUGAAUGAGCUCCGCAAAUACUCAUCUCUGGGCAGCUGCCAAGUCUGGCCCCACUCCAGAGGACCGAGUGCUUGCAUCUGUCCCACUUCCCUUGGCAUGAAGGCCCCUGGCUGUCAGGGUGGGGCAGAGCUCCAGAGCCAGCCUUGGUGCUGGGACCCGGCCGAGCGAGGAGCUGCGGUGCCCAGGCCACAUGGCGUUCCCUGGUGAGGAGACGAUGUGAUGGCCACCAACACCCUUGGAACCCGUGUCGGCCCCAGUGCGAGUCAAGUGGACCCCUGCUGUCCUCCCGAGAAGUGUGACCAUUUAGUCUGAGGGGAGGGACAGUGGCAUCCUGAACCCCCACAGUGGCUGAGAAGGCUUCCAGCUGCCCAGCUGCCCUCUCUGCCCAGGAGGAGACGCUAUGCCAAGGCCCAGCUGUGGGAGAGUCUGCGUUUCCCGUGCCAUCCACUUGGAAAGGGCCUUCGUGCAGUCAGGGACUGGUGUGAUGGGGAGAAGGAGCCCAGUUUUCUUCUUGGGCGUUCCAGCCAAAUCAGGCUUGUUGAAGCCCUUCCCUGACUGCCAAGAGGGAGACCACUGCCUCCAGCCGGGAGUGCAGGAUGCCCAUUCUCACGUGGAUUCUCGUCCAUUGGAAUCUGGAGACAGGCCUGGACUUGGAGCCUUCUGCUCGUUGUCUGACCACAGGCAAGCCACUCCACCUCUCUGAGCUUUGGUCUUCUCGUUUGCACAAUAGGCAACUGGAAGUGAAAGUAUGGUGAGUAGUUUCUAGACACCGGGCACUGCGUCAGGGGCUCUCGCACUUGUGUUCGUCAUAAGCUCCGUGGCUGCCACAUAGGUGGUGACUAUGCCGGGGACCACUGUCUGGCCCCAGAGGUGACUUAUUCUCUUUAUUCUGCUGCGAAACCCUCAGCCCCUCAACUGCAGAGAUUGCUCCUUCCAUUCUUGGCGCUCAGCCCUGUGACUCCCACAUGGAAGGUUCUUGACUAGAUGUUGCAUGGAUGCAUACUAAGUGGGAGGGAGCUCACUUCUGGCUUUCACACAUCAAAUUAAAUUUUCAUGAACUCAUGAAUCAACAAGAGAAACUAAGCAGCAUUUUACUGAACACCUACUAUGUCUGAUGAUUUACAUGGGUUUUCUUAUUUAGUCUUCACAGUAAUCCUGUGAAGUACUCUCUCUUCCGUUUUGCAAGUUAGGAAAUUGUGGAAGCUCACGCCUUGUCAAGAUUAGUCAACAUGUAAGAGGGAGGAGCAGGAUUUGAAUUGGAGUCUGAUCCCUCGGACUGUGCUCUUUGCAUUCCACCAGGCUGCCAACAGGGAGACGCCUGCUAGACCGUGGUUGUUACAAAGCAGAAUCGUGGUCUAGCAGGGGGAAUAAUGCAUCCCAACCAGCGUCAGAAGGAGGCGCCAGCAGAAGGCCCGCUGCUCCCACGGGCUAAGGGGAUGAAUGACGGAGGCCAGGACCUUCCCAGGGCGUGCCUGCAGGCUUCUCCACCUAGACUGUCGUGGCCCAACCUCAGGCCAGCCCAGGCAACAGCGAGGCAAGGCCCGGCCUGGGUCUGCCGCCUCUCAGCCCAUUGGCCCUGUGGAUGCUGCGUUGCAAAACCACACUGUUUUGUUCUGACUUCCUCUUGGGUUCCCAGGAAGUUUAUUUACAGAAGUAAAAUUGCCUCGUAACGUAAAAAAAUAUUUUUUUUGCUGUGGUAAAAUAUACACAACACAAAAUUUACCAUUUUAACCACUUAAUGUAAAAAUGUACAACUGCAUGGUGUUAGUUCACAAUGUGCACAUUCCAGAUGUUGCAUAGCCAUCACCGCCAUUUGUCCCCAGAACUCCCUAACGGAAGCUCUGUACCUAUUAAACACUAAUUCCCCCCCUCCCUCUAGACUCUGCUGAUCUCUUGUCCGUGUUUUGUCUCUAUGAAUUUGCCUACUCUAGGUAUGUGUGUAAG